Molecule: ribosomal RNA, 506 nt
Filed under: uncultured bacterium
Lineage: Bacteria
Description: partial 16S ribosomal RNA
Rfam family: Bacterial small subunit ribosomal RNA
Source: RNAcentral
AGUGAACGCUGGCGGUAGGCCUAACACAUGCAAGUCGAACGGCAGCACAGGAGAGCUUGCUCUCUGGGUGGCGAGUGGCGGACGGGUGAGGAAUACAUCGGAAUCUACUUUUUCGUGGGGGAUAACGUAGGGAAACUUACGCUAAUACCGCAUACGACCUACGGGUGAAAGCAGGGGACCUUCGGGCCUUGCGCGAUUGAAUGAGCCGAUGUCGGAUUAGCUAGUUGGCGGGGUAAAGGCCCACCAAGGCGACGAUCCGUAGCUGGUCUGAGUGGAUGAGCAGCCACACUGGAACUGAGACACGGACCAGACUCCUACGGGGGGCAGCGGUGGGGAAUAUUGGACACUGGGCGCAAGCCUGAUCCAGCCAUACCGCGUGGGUGAAGAAGGCCUUCGGGUUGUAAAGCCCUUUUGUUGGGAAAGAAAUCCAGCUGGCUAAUACCCGGUUGGGAUGACGGUACCCAAAGAAUAAGCACCGGCUAACUUCGUGCCAGCCGCCGCCGUAA